Molecule: small nuclear RNA, 107 nt
Organism: Arvicanthis niloticus (Nile rat)
Lineage: Eukaryota; Metazoa; Chordata; Mammalia; Rodentia; Muridae
Source: RefSeq, a predicted model, not a curated record
GUGCUUGACUCAGGGAACAUAUUCUAAAGUUGGAUCGAUAAAAGAGAGGGCUAGCAUGGCCCCUGCACAAGGACGACACACAAAUUUGUGAAGCAUUCCAUAUUUGC